UCUUGGCCUCUGGUUGUUGUGUUUUGACUCGGUGUAGUGUGGAUGAUAUGCUUGUAAUCUGAGUUCUGUUGGGUAAGGUACGUUGAUAUAUGUGUAAUUUUUAUUGGUAUUUCCACCUGCGAUUAAGAUUCUUCCAUCGGUGAGAACAAUGGCUGACGAGUGGUACAUUCUUGCUAUUUUAGUUGAUCUCAGGAUUGAGAAUCUUCUGUUCAGUUGGUUUUUGGGCUUGUAGAGAUAGGGUCGAAGGGACGCGUUUCUUGCAUUCCCCCAUCCUGCACAACCGGUUUUAGCUCCAUUGAUGAUCAAGAUAUUGCCUGUGGGAAGGAUUAGCAUAUCGUGUAAGAGCCGAGGUUCUGGCAUGUUUUCCAUAUUCCAUUUAUGCCUGUUCCCAGUGAUCACCAUUCUUCCGCAUGAUCGCAGACCUUUCAUGAACUGCCCACGUCGUGCUGCUCUGUAUGCUCCGGUAGCAGAGCCCCCAC
Molecule: long non-coding RNA, 479 nt
Filed under: Cucumis sativus (cucumber)
Lineage: Eukaryota; Viridiplantae; Streptophyta; Magnoliopsida; Cucurbitales; Cucurbitaceae
Description: long non-coding RNA (CSAT_LNC000024)
Source: RNAcentral